This 4827-nucleotide long non-coding RNA is filed under the name Marmota monax (woodchuck). The stretch from base 621 to 689 matches the Rfam family "mir-8/mir-141/mir-200 microRNA precursor family". The record is from RNAcentral. Lineage: Eukaryota; Metazoa; Chordata; Mammalia; Rodentia; Sciuridae.
CACGUGGGCCCACUGGGGACUGGGGAGGCAGAGUAGGCUCCAUUGGCCUAACCCCACACAGAGGUCCCUGCAGACAUGUCCUGGCUGUUUCCUAACUAAGGACAAGGAGUCUCCGUUCCUCCCCCUGGCAAGAACAGGAACUUUGUCCAAAAUCACAAGCCAGGAUUACCCAUUGUUUUAUCUUUUUGAUCUGAAGCCAGGACUGGGGACUCAGGGCUCGGGGCUCGGGCACCCACCCAGCCUGAGCCCCGGUGGCCUCUCCCUAGGGAGGGGCCGAGGGUCUGCCCUGUGUUCUCCGGUUACUUAUUAACCAACUGGGAGCCACUCUGGAAACCGGCAAGCUGCUGGGGGAGUGCAAGCCCAAGAUCAAGGGCAGGUGGCUGGGUCGCUCCCCAGCUGUGCCUGCAAACACCCCCACCUGGGGCUGGGCACUGAGGGGGGCACCCCAAAGUCCUCAGAGCAGUCCUGGGGGGCUCCAGACAAUCCCAGGGCCAGCCCUCAGGGCUCUGCAGAUGUAGGAGGGUCAGGGGCCAGCCUGGGCUGGGCAGGAGCAGCCCCCACUCCCCCUCAAAGGCACCAGGACUCUCUCCGGGACCAGGAGCAGCCCUGCCAUGCCUCUGAUGGGCGUCUUACCAGACACGGUUAGAUCUCGAUGCCUCUGUCUAAUACUGUCUGGUAAUGCCGUCUAUCCAGGGCCCCAUCACCGCAGGAGGACCACUCACCUGGGCGGUACCACUGCCCAGGGCUGGGGCUGGAGCCCUGGGCCAACUCCCCACCUGCAGGACGCUGGCUGCCUCUCCUGACAAAGGAGUGCCAGGCCCUCACAGCCCCUGGUACUACACUGAGGGUGUGGGAGCUGCAGGCACCUCCAGCCAGCACUCACGGGACAGAGGGGACCCUGAGCCCAACCUGGCCCUCAAGGCCCUGUCCACCUGUACCAGGCAGUGGAAGACAGGCAUGAAGAGCCCUGCCCCACCCCCAGUGUUCCCCAACCUAGAGAAGGGGAGAAGACCCAGGGUGGGUCCUCAUUACAGCCUCUCAGUACCACAUGUCCUAGGCAGCAUCAGGACCCCAGACUCCUGGGAAGGGCCAGAAGCAAGCCCUGGGGUGGGGUGCAGUUGACAUCUCCCUCCACCGGGCUGAGUGGCCCAUGGACCCACGCCCAGGGCUGAGGUGGUCAGGGGGCACUGCCCAAGUGCCAGGCCUGGUGAGAGGGAAGCCGUGCCUUCUCGGCUUGCCCACUGCCCUUCUCUCAGCAGCCCCAGCUCCAGGGUCAGGGAACUGCCCCCCCAACCAAGCUGGGAAUCACACCAUGCCACCUUGCGCCUUUGUCCCCUGAGAGUGAAGCGGGCCCUGAGUAAAGCUGUCAGGGCAGUUGGUUCACUGCGGCGUGACAUGUGAGAAGGAUUCAGAGUGAGCCCCACUCUGGAGUGCGACGUCCCACCCCUCAGACCUGGAACCUGAGCCACUGAUUUCCAACCGCUCCUCCAGAACACAGGCUGCACCCAGAGGCCACACACCCAGCCUGGCCAACCCCCUCGCAUGCCCCGGUGUAGGGUGCACCUCGAGCUCCACCAGAUGUCGCCUCCCUCUCUCCCCACAGCACUGUUGAGGCUGACACCCAGUCCUGCUGAGUGUCCCCAGACCCCUCCUCCGUACCCUCCCUUUGGAGACACUGGGAACAACUGCAAAGAUCUCUGUACAAUAAACCCCAUGACUUGAAAACCUUGAUUCUGAUCACCUCCUUGUUCUAACCGUACAAAACUGACCCAGAGCUUUGCAAAGGGCCCUGCUGUAGACAGAGCCCUACUGUGAGCUCAGAGAGCCCGCAGCCCCAGCCACAGGAGAGGCACCCCCCCAUUCUUCCCUCCCCCCCCCCGCUUUCUCCCUCCCCCUCCCUCCCUCACUGAGUCUGUCCUGCCUCUUCUGUGGGCAACGCAGUUAGAGACAUUGAGAUGCAGGAAAGCCCCCAGCAGGAACCACAGGGAUGAGUGGUCACAGGGCAGAGUUUUCCUGAGCACUUGGUGCCACCAUGUGGGCAGGGUGUCACAGCCCCAGAACCUGGCUGUGGUGGGGCUCCCCUGGGACAAGGGCAGUGGCCUGGCAAGAAGGUUAGACUUCCAGGCCCCUGGAAGGGAGGGAAGGAGCCACUGGGGGAGGUCUGUAGGCUCUGUGCUCCUACCAGGCCUUCAGGAGGAGGGUAUGAGCCCACCAGGCCCAGGUGUCCUCACAUGGCCACCACAAAGCUGGAACAGGGAUAUAAGCAGUCCUGUGUGGUAUGUACCCCAGAACAUAUCUUCCAAAGGUCAGGGUGCUCCUGCAAUGAGGCUCCCCUCCCAGCCCAGGGGCCCCUGCUCCGUCUGGGGAGCAUCAAGACUAGUGAGGGUGAGUGCAUCCUUCCCACCCAGGGUCAGCAGCUGUUGGCCACCUGCCCAGACCAGAGGUUGGCAGGGCCAAGGUGCAGGCCCAGGCUCAGGGCGUUUGCCCACUCAGCCCAGGCUGGGUGGAGCAGCUCCCUGGCCAGCCCUACUGCAGCCCCCUCAGGCUGACCUAUGGCUACCUAGGACAAGGAUCUCCUGGGCCAUCACUGCACUAGGGUGCAGAAGCUACAGUCAGGCAGGGUGGGCUAGGGCCACCUCAGGAAGCAGUCUCCCACCCACAGAAAUAGGAAAGGGUAGAAAACCCCAGCCCCACCCCACCCAGCCCCUGGGCUCUGAGGAAUGGAGCCUCUCCAACCCCAGCCACACCUGGCACCAGGCAUGGGGGGACUCUGUGUGGGUGAGGGAGCCCCAAGAGUCGGCAGUAGCAGCACCCAGCCGGGCCCCUGGAAGGGCCUAGGGGGCUGUGUGAAUGUCCUGUGCAGCUACAACAACCAGCCUGGACUGGCGACUCUCUCUCCCAAGGCCUCGUGGCUGGCUGUCCUGCUACCAGGGCUCUAGGGGACCUACCUACCUCCUGAGCUCCUGAGGGCUCAGGUCCCUGGGCUUGUGGCUGCACCACCUCCAUCUCUGCCCCCAACUCCAUCUCUCUUCCCUCUGCCUCCCCCCGAGGAGGAUGCAGGUCAUUGGAUUUAGGGCCCACAUGGUUGAUCCAGGACAGUGUCAUCUGAGAUCUAACGUAAUCACAUCUAUGCAGAUCUUUCUUUCCCAAUGAGAUCACAUUUGCAGGCCCCUGGGCUUAGGACAUGGUCCUGUCUCUGGGGACAGCCCCUUCAAGGGACUCCUGUGACCCUCACAGGGCCCACAUAGCUGGAGGCUCAGUUUGGAGGCAGGGGUCACACCUGUCCCAGGAGCCUCAGCUGGGAGCACUUCACAAACUGGCACCCAGGGCCUCUCUGAGCUAGGCGUGGAGUCAGCUCCUAGGACACUGGGCUGGGGCUCAGGGGCCCCUGAGAAGGCUCAGAGAUGACCCUGGGAGGAUUGGGAGGAAGGGGAAAUGGGAGACAGGGCCCCAGGUUAUCCCCGGGGGGUGCUCCCAGCCCCAGCUCCCCAGCCUCCUGCCACCCAGCGUGACCCCCCCAUCCCCACUUGACUCCUGUCAGGUCCUUGGCUGGGUGCUGCCCAUCCACUAAAGCCCUUGUUUACCUCUGGGCCCAGCCGGAUCACAGUUGCCAGGUAAUGGUUGCUGGGAAACAGUUGCCAGGUCACCACUGUUGUCUCCCAGCAGAGGGCUCCCGAGACUUGUUGGGCAGGUAAGAGAGACAGGAGGGCCACCAGCCCGGGUCCUGGCUGGGGCUGAGGCUUGGCCUUGCCCUCUGGUGCUUCUCUCCAGCCCCUGCCCAGAAGCAGAGGAAGGAGGAAGGGACCAGACAGAGACUGGGGUGGACGAGUCUUUGGCGCAGGAGCAGGUCUGUCUCCUAGAAGUAAUCCCCGGGAGGGCAGCCUCCUGAGAUCCACGGGGACUGACUCCGUCCCCAGAGUGCCGCUGGCCGGGGUGCCAACCCCCCCCCCCCCCCGAGCCACUUCAGCACUUCCUGAGCCCUGUGUGGCCGACUGUGAGCUGCUGGGUGCUUCUAACCAUGGACUCUGACCUGCAGGCAUCUUCCUCAGGGUUAGAAGCCUCUCCUCCCCAUCAGACCAGGGUGCGGUUUCCUGCCUUUUUAUCUGACCAGGUAAAAAGUUUACCUUAAAUUUCUUACAGAGCUGUGAGCCUUCUGCCUGGUCCCUUGCCCUGGGUUUUCGCUCAGUCUUUGCCAAACGUCCUGCUCAGGACCACGCCCUGCUCUGAGGACUAGUUGCUCCCCCGUCCGCCCCUCUGGUGUAAGCCUCCUUUCUGGNCAGGGCUGAGGUGGUCAGGGGGCACUGCCCAAGUGCCAGGCCUGGUGAGAGGGAAGCCGUGCCUUCUCGGCUUGCCCACUGCCCUUCUCUCAGCAGCCCCAGCUCCAGGGUCAGGGAACUGCCCCCCCAACCAAGCUGGGAAUCACACCAUGCCACCUUGCGCCUUUGUCCCCUGAGAGUGAAGCGGGCCCUGAGUAAAGCUGUCAGGGCAGUUGGUUCACUGCGGCGUGACAUGUGAGAAGGAUUCAGAGUGAGCCCCACUCUGGAGUGCGACGUCCCACCCCUCAGACCUGGAACCUGAGCCACUGAUUUCCAACCGCUCCUCCAGAACACAGGCUGCACCCAGACGCCACACACCCAGCCUGGCCAACCCCCUCGCAUGCCCCGGUGUAGGGUGCACCUCGAGCUCCACCAGAUGUCGCCUCCCUCUCUCCCCACAGCACUGUUGAGGCUGACACCCAGUCCUGCUGAGUGUCCCCAGACCCCUCCUCCGUACCCUCCCUUUGGAGACACUGGGAACAACUGCAAAGAUCUCUGUACAAUAAACCCC